This is a long non-coding RNA of Alligator mississippiensis (American alligator), 3880 nucleotides long. RefSeq lists it as uncharacterized. Lineage: Eukaryota; Metazoa; Chordata; Crocodylia; Alligatoridae. The record is from RefSeq and is a predicted model, not a curated record. The transcript has 3 exons.
GGGCUGUUUCCUAUACAAGGCAUUGCACUCACUUUUACCUAACGGACCUGCUUUUUCCACUUACGCGUAGCUAAUUUUUGUGCUGUUUAAUUUGUAAAUUUAGUUAUGAAUCAAUAAUUUAUGUGAAGAAUUUGCCAUUUGCUGUUCACAGAUUGUCCAUGGGCUGACCCUGCUUUCCUUAUUAUCAUCAUCUAAUAUUUAUAUAUCAACAGUAUCUGAAGGUCCCUGUCAAAAACAGGAUGUCAUUGUACUGGCUGGUCUAAAAAUAUAGAGGCAAACACAGUGCCUGUUCUGAAGUGCUUACAGUCGAAAGAAGAAGAAAAUUACAUAUGUGCAUUUUUAAUUUUGUGUAAGUACACACACAUGCAUGUACAUGCACACGGACACAUACUCCCCCUCCAGCUUUAGCCUAGUAGUUACAUUAGUACUUAAAAAAAAUAAAUUCUCACCUGCCCUACUACCCCCAGCAUAAAUGGGUCUUGAAAAGGGAGCUAAGUGUAUUCCUUAAAAUGAAAAGCUCUACUUUCCUUAUUGCACAUUAAAAAACAAAUCUGAGUUACGGUUCUUGCCCUGUAUAGUAUCUACUCUUCCAAGUGUGUUGCUUUGCUUAGUUGUAAUUACUCAGACAAACUCCAUGUCACUAUGCCUGUUUCCCAGCUAGAUGAGCAUGGAGGCAGUUUUAAUGCUAAGUAGUCAUGCCUGAAAACCUGAAGUUCAAUUUUUACCCGUACCAGGGAAGACAGACUUUGUCCUAGUUUUCAUACAAGUGACUCUGACUACAUAAGGAUAAUGUCAAAGUGAAUAUAAAAAUGGCAGGGUAAUGACCAAUGUGGAGACAAAAUCCAGAAGAACAAACCAGAAAAACAAGUCUGGAAAGAUUUUCACAGGCCUAAUGAUUUGCAUGCAAACAUCAGUAUUAUUCACAAACGCAUGUACCACUUUCCUACCAUCUUCCCCUUCAGUUGCCACUUUAAAACACACCUGCCAAAUGCUAUCGGCACGUUAUCACCCUCACCAAAAACUGCGUUAAGUAGAGCAACGACAGAAGGUUUUUACACAGGGCUCGCAUUUCAGAGAGGGAGUGGAGAUUUACACGGGCAACAUGAAUAUUCUGAAUAAUAUUUCAUGCUAACAAAUUAGAUUUUGGAAGGGAUAUGUAAAACCACAUGCUUCAGGGUUGAAGCUAAUCCCUGGAUGUUAGGAACAAGGGCAGGUGAUCCUGGAUUUGGCAAUUGUGGGAUUACUAGCAUCCUUCUAUUGAGGUUGAUACUGGCCAAUGUGGAAGAUAUAGUCCAUCUAGUUUAGGAUCCUUUGUUUGAUCAUAGAUAGCAACUUCUCAACAAGAAUGGUUUGCAGCCUGGUGGACUAUGGCAGGGUAGAAAUUGUAAGAACUGGGUGAAUGUAAGAGGAAGGAUGAUGUGGAUUAUGGUGGAAUUUAGGCAACCUAAAUUCCUGCCUUUGCUACGACCUGCCAAUGAGACCUCAGGCAAGUUGCUUAGUUUGUGUGUCCUUGUACCCAUCUAUGAUCUGAAGAGAAUGUUGUUCCCACCAGCUCAUGAAUAUUUCUUAGCAGGGACUUUCUCUUUGUACACAUUUUGCAUAGUGACUAACCCCACAGAGCCCUGAUCUUAGCUGAGGGAUCUAGGCUGAACUGAUCAGAAUUUCUACUACUUUGCAUUUUCUGGCUGUUGGUUUCUGUGUAUUUAAGUUUCAUAUUCAUUCCUUUUAAAUAAUUCAUCUUCAUGCCUUGGUAGUUUUUUUUUAAACCACAGGGGAGAAUGUGGAAUUACCAUAAGGCAAGAUCUUUUCACGAUGUCGGCCUAACCCAAAAGAGUAAAUUAGGGUUAAUUAACGAUGAACCGCUGCUUUCAUGAACUAUGCGCUCCUCUUAUGCACAAAGAUUUGGCAGAGACGAUACAGCAUGAAACAGCACACAUCUGAAAUCUCAGGAGUUGGCACCAGAGGCAGCAAAGCAUUGAGCAGAUGGCCCGCCACUGAAGCGGACAGUAAGCAUAUACAUCACCAAGAACAGCUAAUUUCCAGAAACAUCAGGCCUUCCACAUAUUACAACAAUGUCUGGCCCUAAAUUGCACUGAAGAACAGCAAUGACAGGAAAUAUCCCAGAUAGAUAUCAACAGCGAUUCAAGUGAGCCCCCAAACUAUUUCUGUUCAUUUGCUCAAAUACACACUGAUGGCAUAAGCAAGUGCCACUCCACUGACUUCGUAAUAUCAUCAUCUUGGAUUGAAGAUGUGAAUUAUUUUUGAUUAGCUGGAGGGGAAAUCCAGCCUCACGCAGCAUCUUUCACAGUGACGGGUAGUGUAAACUCUGAAUUCUCUGGCAGCAAUGAUGAAAUUAAAUGAUUUCUGGUGUGACAGACACUGCUUAGUAAAUCCUUGAAGGCUGAAGAUACAUUGGAACAACAGAAAAAGAAAACCGGGCAAACAAAACUGCUCGCACAAUUGCUUGGUGCCAGCUCCUCUCCAUGUUUCUGUUCGGGGAGCGUGCAAAAUAUGUUACCAGAGAAGACUCUGCCAGGAUUUCGUGCUUCCAUGCUUCUACUUUUCUUGGGCUGGGUCUCAGUACUGGUGCUUUGAAAGCCUGAUUUUGUGUGGCCACAGUGCAGAGACUUCUGUUUCCCACUCUGAACAUUUCUGCCGAGCUGCAAUUGCUGCCUGCUGCUUUCCCAUUUGUUAAGCAAUGGAUUACUGUUCAAACAUUCUCAGCCCAGGUUAGCCUAAUCUCUGCAUGCAAUUCUCCAAAUUUACUAUCCUCUUACAGAGCCGUGAUCAGAGGUGCUUCUUGCUUGUUCAAUAAUUUUCUGAAGCGCUGCCCCAAUCAUUGCUACUGUGAUUUCCUUUCUUUGUGAUGGGUAAUGCAUUUUGCUAUUCACCUUCUGCAGAAGGUAAAUUGGCCAUUUAGAUGCUUUCUGAUUUUGUAUACAGUGUCUUAGUUGUUUUCUCCAUCAGGCCUGACAGCUAUUUCAAGCCCUUGCACUUAUUCUUACAUUAAUUUAACUUCACCUAGCAACCCUUAUCAAGAUACUACUAGCUAAUUCUGUCCUUAUCUUCUCCCCUCCCCACCCCAAAUCACUUGAAGUACAAUGCUUUUUCUUCAGUGCUCAAGUAUCGCCUUUAAUCUAUUCUGCCUCUUUACUCAGCUACUGCUUGGCCUUAGUGGAAUCCUCUUCCUUUGCUGAAGCUCACUCUUGCUUCCUGUUCUCAUAUUUUCCAAGGGAUUUUGCAUAGCUAAAGUGCGUGGUCUGUUUUUGGGGGAUCUGGAAGCUUGGUCAUGGGCCUGGGCUAAUGCCUCCCACCCAGAUAUGGGCCCAAAGAAAUGCUUUAGAGCUGCUGGCAUGGUGAUGCUGGAUAUGAAAGACUAGGAUGUGGAAAAGUCAGGGAGCAAAAAGGAAGGAAGAGGCUCCAUGAUGGAGUACACAGCACUGCAGGGACCUCCCAAGCAUGGCCAGUGCAAGGAUUUUUGCUGCCCUAGGCAGUGUCAUGCUGAGCUAAGGCCUGGCUGAAUGUAUGAGAUGCUUGUCUGCCCAAGGCAUUGCUUUUGCCACCCACUACAAUUUGCCACCCUAGGAAGCUUCCUAUGCUGCCUGCUCAGUUAUGCCAGCCCUGCUCCAGAGCUAGCUCAGAGGGUGGGAAUUUAGAUAAGGUGAUGUGCCUUGGGGAGCCGACUGGAUUAAAGGAGUCAAUACAUUUGGAUUGGAGACUCUGAAUGACUCAGAGAGGAAAAGCAAGGCAUAUUUUCAAGACUACGCGAUGCCUCACAUCUGUGCCUUAGAUUCCCUUCUGUAAAAUGGGAAAAAUGACAUGUAUCUACUUCUGGAACUGCUUUAAGAUGUAUAAAUAAAAAGUACCAUACAAAUCUGAA